UUUUUUUUUUUUUUUUUAAACAUCUGUUUGGCCAGCUUUUCCAGAGAGACCAGAACCUGGCUAGUAAGAAACUCAUACCCCAUUCUACUGGCUUACUGGGUCCUGGGUUCCCUUGACCGCUGUUUCCAGAAGAGCAGAGUGGCUUUGGUAAUCCUGCUCACAGGGCCAAAACUAUAGGGGCCAAAGGAAACUCCUUCACCCUCUGAAGUUUCACUAAAACAAUCAACUCACAAAGAGGAUUAAUAGGAGAAAUGGAAUACGAAUGUGUUAAUGUGCAUGGGAAAGAAAUCCAGAGUGAUUAACCGACCCCUCCUACCCCUCUGUGCCUUAUGUGUGUCCCAUAUAAGGCACAGAACCUUAUAUACAGUCCUGAGGUUACAGCAAAAUGAGGGCUUGGAUUGUGACAAACAGGUUAUGGGAGUGGAAGAAGAAGAGGCCUGACUAGCAAAGGUGAUCUUACAAUGCAGACGAAACCUCACAGGUAGGCUGGGCAGGGUGGCUCAUGUCUAUAAUCCAAGCAGUUUUUGAGGCUGAGGCAGGAAGAUCGCUUGAGGCCAGGGGUUCAAGGUUUCAGUGAGCUACAAUGGUGCCAUUGCAAUCAGCUUACAUGAUGGAGUGAGACCUUGUCUCUUAAAAAAAAAAAGAAAAGAAGAGAAACCUUACAGGUAGCAGCUAUCAGAGAAAAUAGAUGGUGACUGUUUCUUUCAUACUUUUAAAGGUGCCAGACUUUCAGUUAAUCUUUCCUAGAGUAGACAAAAGAGGGCCUCGGAGAAAGCCUGACUGCAUCAAUGCAGAUUUUCUCUACAGAUGUGAAUCUCACCCACAAAAGACAGCCUUUCAGCUAUUCUUGUAUUUCCAGCCUUUCUGAAUAGCCAUCUUCAAAUAUGUUAAAGACGUAUAUUCUGGGGUAAAAUAUUUUGGUUUCCUAUACAUGCCUGCUAUAUUUCUGGAACAGCAAAGAACCCAUGUUGACUGGAACAAAUGGGAUGAAGGGGAGGGUAGUAGGAGAUGAUGGUUAGAGAGGUUAAGCGGGGGUAGACUUACAGGCCACUGUGAGCACUUUAGCUUUUAUUAUGGGUGUACUGGUGAGCCAUUGAAAGAUUUCAAGCAAGGGAAUGACAUGAUCUCAUUCACUGUACAAAUGAUCACCCUGACUACUGUGUUUGGAACAGACUAUUAAAGGGUCAUCGAUAGAUUACUGAGACCAUUUAGAAGGCUAUUGCAAUAAUCCAAGUAUGAUGGUGAAAAUGACUGACAUAGCAGCAGUAGAAAUAAGUGCUCAGAUUUUUGAUGUAUUUUGAAUUGAUGUGGUGUGUGUGAGAGGUCAAAGAUGACUCUGAGGUUUUUAUCGUCAGAGUAGGUAGACAAGAGCAGGGCAGGAGAGGGCUCCCCUCCACACACACACACCAGGAAUGUCAGGUGACCAUCUGGUGAUGGUCAGGCCAUUGUGAACUGUCUCUCUAAAAUACUAAUUGGUCACAGCCAGCGCCAGGGAAAGGCUGACUCCCAAUAAAUAGAAAACACCUGAAACUGAUCAUCAGCUGCUUCCCAAUAAGAUCUCAGAAACUGGGCGAGUAGGCUCACACAUGCACACUAAGAGGGAAAAUGGCAAAGUUUAACUGGGAUAUGACCUCAUAGGGACAUGUGACUGGUAACGGAAGAAUGCCUCAAGAGAGCAUGUGUACAACUCCAGUAAACACAGUAUGCAUGCUCCCCUCCCAAGUGCUAGCAGGCUCCCCUCCCCAGUGACAGCCCACCCUAAGGGAAGAAUACGGGGAGAAGUAAUGCAAGCCUCCGGAAGUAUGCCAACCUAUAAAAGGCCAAGUCAAAAGAUCAAACCACAGACUUGUCUUUCAAGUUGCCCACUCGGCCCUCUUCCAAGUGUACUUUCCUUCCUUUCAUUCCUGCUCUAAAGCUUUUUAAUAAACUUUCACUCCUGCUCUAAAACUUGCCUUGUCUCUCCUUCUGCCUUAUGCCUCCUAGGUCAAACUCUUUCCUCUAAGGAGGCAAGAACUGAGGUUGCUACAGACUCAUACAGAAUCAUCGAUUCAUCGCUGGUAACUUAUUUUGGUGCCAUGUGACUCAGAUACUUUAUACUGUUAAUAUUUUGACCUCAGUAACAGAUGGACAGUUAUUAAUAAGAUAAGAAUGUAGUGGGUGGCACAAUUUUGGAAGAAAAAUAGAAUGAGGAGUUUGGCUUUGAACACAUUAAUUAUGACUAUGAGACAUCCAAGUGGAGAUGCCAAAUAAAAAGUUGGACAUAUCUGUCUGUAGUGCAGGAUGCUGCUCUGGAAAAGAGACUUAUCAGCAUAUGCAUGGUGCUCAAAGUCAUAAUAAGAUAGAAGACGACCUCAUAGGGAGAGAGGUAUAGGGAAAUGAAGAUAUAAAACUGGACGGGGCUCUGGGGUGCUACCAAUAAAAGGAAGGAGGAGUCUGCCAAAAAGACUGAACAGAAGCAUCCAAUAAACUCAAGGGAAAACUAGGAGUGAGUUAUCAGAAAGGAAGUUGUCUUAGUCCAUUUUGUGUUACUACAAAAAAAUACCUGAGGCUGGAUAAUUUAUAAAGAAAAACAGUUUAUUUGGCUCACAAUUCUGAUGGAUGUUAAGUUCAAGAUUAGGCAUAUGCAUCUGGGGAGGGCUUCAGGUGGCUUCCACUCAUGGUGAAAGACAGGGACUUGGUGUGUGCAGACUGCACAUGGAGAGAGAAAGAAAGAGAAAGAGGAUGAGGUGCCAAGCUCUUUGUAACAAUCAGUUUUCAUAGGAACUAAUGAAAAACUCACUCACCUUUGAAGGAGGGCACUAUUUUAUUCAUGAGGUAUCUGCCCCCAUGACACAAACACCUCUCAAUAGGACCCACCUCCAACACUGCGGAUCAAAUUUCAUCAUGAGGUUUGGAGGACACAAAUAUCCAAACCAUAGCAGAAGUGAAAAAAGUAUAUCUCAAAGGAAAGUGUGACCAGCUAUAUAAAAUGCUGCUAACACAAAGAAUGAAGAACUGGAGGCACAAGCUCCAUUUGGAGACAUAGCCAAAGACAGAAAUACACAGUAACCAACCAAAGAGGAAGUGAUCCUUUUUUAUUCUAAGCUGUGUUUAGGAAGAGUAAUAUAUCCUGGGUUUGCCAAAUUCUUCAUAGAGUUGUUAUUGCUUGUUCUAAAUUGUUAGGAAGGAAGGACAGACGGUUAGGUUGACCAAAUAUUGCCACAGUUUAAGUGGUGGAUCUUGUGGCUCAGCUCAAUGUUUCCCUCUUUUCAAAGACCAUCUUCUACUUGCACAAACCCCUUUACCUUCAUAUAAAAACAAUUGAGAUAAAAUUGUUCUGAAGAUGAGGGGCAUACACUCCCUCCAAACUUCAGGUAUUCUUAGGCAACUAAGAAUCUUGUGGACCUUGGAGGGAAAUCCCUGGUGAUGUGCAACAGUCCAUAGGGUUCCACUAUGAACAGAGGAACAUUUAAAAUAGUCUAGCUCCUCCAGGAAAGACUUAUAAAGAGUGGUAAUUUAGCAUUAGGAGCAGCUCCCUCUUUCAGCAGCGAGUUUUCCUGAGACAUGUAAGCGAGCUAAAUCCACUCGGGAGUGCAAACCUGAGGAGUAAAGCUCUAAAGCAACACAUUUUUGAUCCUAUACAUUCUUAGCUUAGUACAGAUGGAUGGGGACAGGAAGUAACAUGGGAAAUUAGACAUCAAAGAUUGAAAUCUUUGAAGGGUGCUUACCACCCCUUGAAACACCAGCUGGAUUUAUGACAAAAUUAUGGCACUUCAUCUUGUGAAUUUUUGAAUCACCGGGUUAACAUGCAUAAUUGGAGAGAGCUGGCUCAAAGAUGAAAGAGAAAGAGUGAGAAAGCUACUUUCAGUGGCAUCUAGAAGCCUCUAAAAUAGGAAAUGACAAAAUCAUUUCCAUAUGGGAGGUAAAUCACAAGAUUCUGGAAACUGUUUCACAGUUGAAAAAAAGUACGAAUUGUCUACUGUUUUAUCCUCUUCUACUACUGUUUCUACUCUCUCUGUCCCCCAGAGCCUUUCCAACUCUCUGCUCUCAGAACUGCCCUGUCCAGACCUACUUUGACUUCCUCUUCCAUCAUCUAUGGAAGUUUUAGCAGCACCUUCCAAAGAAAAGCUGAAUUCAAGGGAGGAUCCUUCGGUGGCUUAUACCACUUAUACCUAGACCAAAUCAGAACUCAGGGGUUUUACUAACUUCCUGAUCCUACCCAAGAUCCUAUAGGCUUUGCUAAGGAACUUAGUUUGGCAGUAAAGACCUGGCUGGGUGUGGUGGCUCAGCCUGUAAUCCCAGCACUUUGGGAGACCAAGGAGGGAGGAUCGCUUGAGCCCUGUGUUUGAGAUCAGCCUGUGCAACGUAGUGGGACCAUAUAUCUAUUUAAAAAAAUAAUAAUAAUUAGCCAGGUAUGGUUUUGUGGUUCCAGCUAUUCAGGAAACUGAGGUGGGAGGACUGCUGGAGCCCAGGAGGUCAAGACUGUAGCAAGCCAUGAUCACACUACUGCAUUGCAGCCUGAGUGACAGAGUGGUGUGUGUGUGUGUGUCUCAAAAAAAAGACCGAUAAGCCAGUAUAUUCAUAUUUAUGUCAACUAGUUCAUAUGUUAAUAUCCAAAAGGAAAGGUAGAGAAUGGAUAUCAAAGGUUGAUUUGAAGAAUCCAGUAAGCAAUUUCUAUUAACAAAAGGCAGAGGACCGAGCAGAAGCCUCAGAACUGACAAGCUGUCUAACACAGGUAAUUCCCCAGAUACUUCCCAAAGAACACUGAUUGGUUUAAGGAGCAACAAGGUAGACAAGGAUCAAAUAAGACUGUAUUAGACUACUUUGAAAGAUUUUAAAAGAUGUUUUAAACAAUACUCUGGAAUAAAUGAGGCCAGUUGUAUUAGUCCAUUUUCACACUGCUAUAAAGAAAUACCUGAGACUGGGUAAUUUAUAAAUAAAACAGGUUUAAUUGACUCAGUUCUGCGUAGCUGGGGAGGCCUCAGGAAAUUUACAAUCAUGGUGGAAGGCAAACAGGAUGCAAGGGACAUCUUACAUGGCAGCAGGAGAGAGUGAGAGCAAAGGGGGAACUCCCAAACACUGUAAAAACCAUCAGCUCUCAUGAGAACUCCCUAUCACAAGAACAGAAUGGGGUAAAUCACCCCCAUGAUCCAAUCACCUCCUACCAGGUCCCUCCUGCAACACGUGGGGAUUACAAUUAGAGAUGAUAUUUCGGUGGGAACACAGAGCCAAACCAUAUCACCAGUCUAAGAUCAUCAAAAUGAUCCCUUACUAAAUUCAAGUUUAUUUAAUGGGCUAGACAAACAAUUGGCCAAGGUAGUCAAGUUACAUUAAAUAAACUGGGACUCAUCACAUAUUUCUGAGCUUGUAAACCUUCUUGAUAAGCCAGCCAGGGUGAUACAACAGAGAAAGGAUAAUAAUGCCACUAAAAUUAUAAAUUUACAACUCCAGCGACUUACUGGCCAAGAUGCUAGGUUUAAACAGAGGCCACCCUUUUGAAAGACGUUUCAAAAACAUCUAAGAAUGUCUGUUAUUAUUAUUUUUUUAAAAAAGACAUCUUUUAAAACACUGUAGAAAGCUGAAAUGGGUGCAAAAGCAAAAA
This 5581-nucleotide long non-coding RNA is filed under the name Macaca fascicularis (crab-eating macaque). RNAcentral's name for it is "lncRNA (ENSMFAG00000060375.1)". Lineage: Eukaryota; Metazoa; Chordata; Mammalia; Primates; Cercopithecidae. The record is from RNAcentral.